CUUCCAGCGGACCUCACUAAGUUCCUGGCGCAGUCCUACCAGCCAGAGAGCUCUGAAAUGGUUUUCCCAGGAAGGGGAAGGAUCCCUGUCGAUGCUGACAGUGUUCACAGGGUAUUUGAUCUCCCAAACAGGGGUCAAAAAGUCAGAUAUGUAGUUGACAAGGAUUCAACUAGGAGAUUCAGAGAGGCUUUCAACAUAACUAGAAAUUCUCAUCCCCAGAUCACUACAUGGUGCAAGAUGAUUCAGGAUAUGGCUGGAAGAACGGAUGACACAUUCUUUAUGGCCUGGCUUACAGUUGCCUUCAACACUUUUCUAGCACCAACCACAGCCCUGAAGCUCAGCCCAAAGUGCUAUACGAACUUGUGCUAG
RNAcentral lists this ribosomal RNA (369 nucleotides) under Triticum aestivum (bread wheat). Its description in RNAcentral is "partial small subunit ribosomal RNA". Lineage: Eukaryota; Viridiplantae; Streptophyta; Magnoliopsida; Poales; Poaceae. The record is from RNAcentral.